GGUCAAGUGAAGAAGCGCAUACGGUGGAUGCCUUGGCAGUCAGAGGCGAUGAAAGACGUGGUAGCCUGCGAAAAGCUUCGGGAGUCGGCAAACAGACUUUGAUCCGGAGAUCUCUGAAUGGGGAACCCACCUAGGAUAACCUAGGUAUCUUGUACUGAAUCCAUAGGUGCAAGAGGCGAACCAGGGGAACUGAAACAUCUAAGUACCCUGAGGAAAAGAAAUCAACCGAGAUUCCCUUAGUAGUGGCGAGCGAACGGGGAUUAGCCCUUAAGCUUCAUUGAUUUUAGCGGAACGCUCUGGAAAGUGCGGCCAUAGUGGGUGAUAGCCCCGUACGCGAAAGGAUCUUUGAAGUGAAAUCGAGUAGGACGGAGCACGAGAAACUUUGUCUGAACAUGGGGGGACCAUCCUCCAAGGCUAAAUACUACUGACUGACCGAUAGUGAACCAGUACCGUGAGGGAAAGGCGAAAAGAACCCCGGAGAGGGGAGUGAAAUAGAACCUGAAACCGUAUGCGUACAAGCAGUGGGAGCCUACUUGUUAGGUGACUGCGUACCUUUUAUAAUGGGUCAGCGACUUAUAUUCAGUGGCAAGCUUAACCGUAUAGGGUAGGCGUAGCGAAAGCGAGUCUUAAUAGGGCGUUUAGUCGCUGGGUAUAGACCCGAAACCGGGCGAUCUAUCCAUGAGCAGGUUGAAGGUUAGGUAACACUGACUGGAGGACCGAACCCACUCCCGUUGAAAAGGUAGGGGAUGACUUGUGGAUCGGAGUGAAAGGCUAAUCAAGCUCGGAGAUAGCUGGUUCUCCUCGAAAGCUAUUUAGGUAGCGCCUCAUGUAUCACUCUGGGGGGUAGAGCACUGUUUCGGCUAGGGGGUCAUCCCGACUUACCAAACCGAUGCAAACUCCGAAUACCCAGAAGUGCCGAGCAUGGGAGACACACGGCGGGUGCUAACGUCCGUCGUGAAAAGGGAAACAACCCAGACCGCCAGCUAAGGUCCCAAAGUUGUGGUUAAGUGGUAAACGAUGUGGGAAGGCUUAGACAGCUAGGAGGUUGGCUUAGAAGCAGCCAUCCUUUAAAGAAAGCGUAAUAGCUCACUAGUCGAGUCGGCCUGCGCGGAAGAUGUAACGGGGCUCAAACCACACACCGAAGCUGCGGGUGUCACGUAAGUGACGCGGUAGAGGAGCGUUCUGUAAGCCUGUGAAGGUGAGUUGAGAAGCUUGCUGGAGGUAUCAGAAGUGCGAAUGCUGACAUGAGUAACGACAAUGGGUGUGAAAAACACCCACGCCGAAAGACCAAGGGUUCCUGCGCAACGUUAAUCGACGCAGGGUUAGUCGGUUCCUAAGGCGAGGCUGAAAAGCGUAGUCGAUGGGAAACAGGUUAAUAUUCCUGUACUUCUGGUUACUGCGAUGGAGGGACGGAGAAGGCUAGGCCAGCUUGGCGUUGGUUGUCCAAGUUUAAGGUGGUAGGCUGAAAUCUUAGGUAAAUCCGGGGUUUCAAGGCCGAGAGCUGAUGACGAGUCGUCUUUUAGAUGACGAAGUGGUUGAUGCCAUGCUUCCAAGAAAAGCUUCUAAGCUUCAGGUAACCAGGAACCGUACCCCAAACCGACACAGGUGGUCGGGUAGAGAAUACCAAGGCGCUUGAGAGAACUCGGGUGAAGGAACUAGGCAAAAUGGCACCGUAACUUCGGGAGAAGGUGCGCCGGCUAGGGUGAAGGAUUUACUCCGUAAGCUCUGGCUGGUCGAAGAUACCAGGCCGCUGCGACUGUUUAUUUUCCAUCGAAAGGUUAAAACCACCGGCUUUCAGCCGGUGAGCUUUAGCGCCACCAUGCGGGGCUGGAGGGCAAGCGCAUGGAUUACAGAUACGGCAGUCAUACGGUCUACCAGAUCGAGUAUCACUUUGUUUGGGUGACUAAGUACCGAUACAAGGUGCUCAGCGGUGAGGUUGCUGAGCGAGUGCGAGAGCUGGUGAGACAGACGUGCGAAGCAUUUGAAAUUCGGAUUGUGAAAGGUGUGGUGAGCAAGGAUCACGUGCAUAUUCUGGUGAGCAGUCCGCCGAAUUUGGCGCCGAGUGAGAUCAUGAGGCGGAUCAAGGGGCGUACGGCGAGCAAGCUUUUCGAGGAGUUUCCCCAUCUGAAAAAGCGCUAUUGGGGGCAGCAUUUUUGGGCUCGCGGGUACUUUUGCGCGACGGUUGGGCAGAUGACGGAAGAGAUGAUCAAGCAGUAUCUGGAGCAUCAUUUUGAGCCGAGCCCGAACGAUAAUUUCAGGAUGGAGCCUGACUGAUCCGACGCGUCGUUCAGUCGACGCGUAUCCGGACUUUCAGUCCGUAAGUCACUAACCCACCGACUUCAGUCGGUGGUUGUUGAGUAAAAACACAGCACUCUGCAAACACGAAAGUGGACGUAUAGGGUGUGACGCCUGCCCGGUGCCGGAAGGUUAAUUGAUGGGGUUAGCGCAAGCGAAGCUCUUGAUCGAAGCCCCGGUAAACGGCGGCCGUAACUAUAACGGUCCUAAGGUAGCGAAAUUCCUUGUCGGGUAAGUUCCGACCUGCACGAAUGGCGUAACGAUGGCGGCGCUGUCUCCACCCGAGACUCAGUGAAAUUGAAAUCGCUGUGAAGAUGCAGUGUAUCCGCGGCUAGACGGAAAGACCCCGUGAACCUUUACUGUAGCUUUGCACUGGACUUUGAGCCUGCUUGUGUAGGAUAGGUGGGAGGCUUUGAAGCGUGGACGCCAGUUCGCGUGGAGCCAUCCUUGAAAUACCACACUGGCAUGCUUGAGGUUCUAACUCUGGUCCGUGAUCCGGAUCGAGGACAGUGUAUGGUGGGCAGUUUGACUGGGGCGGUCUCCUCCUAAAGAGUAACGGAGGAGUACGAAGGUGCGCUCAGACCGGUCGGAAAUCGGUCGCAGAGUAUAAAGGCAAAAGCGCGCUUGACUGCGAGACAGACACGUCGAGCAGGUACGAAAGUAGGUCUUAGUGAUCCGGUGGUUCUGUAUGGAAGGGCCAUCGCUCAACGGAUAAAAGGUACUCCGGGGAUAACAGGCUGAUACCGCCCAAGAGUUCAUAUCGACGGCGGUGUUUGGCACCUCGAUGUCGGCUCAUCACAUCCUGGGGCUGAAGCCGGUCCCAAGGGUAUGGCUGUUCGCCAUUUAAAGUGGUACGCGAGCUGGGUUUAGAACGUCGUGAGACAGUUCGGUCCCUAUCUGCCGUGGACGUUUGAGAUUUGAGAGGGGCUGCUCCUAGUACGAGAGGACCGGAGUGGACGAACCUCUGGUGUUCCGGUUGUCACGCCAGUGGCAUUGCCGGGUAGCUAUGUUCGGAAAAGAUAACCGCUGAAAGCAUCUAAGCGGGAAACUUGCCUCAAGAUGAGAUCUCACUGGGAACUUGAUUCCCCUGAAGGGCCGUCGAAGACUACGACGUUGAUAGGCUGGGUGUGUAAGCGUUGUGAGGCGUUGAGCUAACCAGUACUAAUUGCCCGUGAGGCUUGACCAU
RNAcentral lists this ribosomal RNA (3481 nucleotides) under Pseudomonas aeruginosa. Its description in RNAcentral is "23S ribosomal RNA". It matches the Rfam family "Bacterial large subunit ribosomal RNA". Lineage: Bacteria; Pseudomonadati; Pseudomonadota; Gammaproteobacteria; Pseudomonadales; Pseudomonadaceae. The record is from RNAcentral.